This 515-nucleotide ribosomal RNA is filed under the name uncultured bacterium. RNAcentral's name for it is "partial 16S ribosomal RNA". It matches the Rfam family "Bacterial small subunit ribosomal RNA", at positions 28 to 523 of the family's 1533-position model. The record is from RNAcentral.
GAUGAACGCUGGCGGCGUGCCUAAUACAUGCAAGUCGAGCGAAUGGAUUAAGAGCUUGCUCUUAUGAAGUUAGCGGCGGACGGGUGAGUAACACGUGGGUAACCUGCCCAUAAGACUGGGAUAACUCCGGGAAACCGGGGCUAACACCGGAUAAUAUUUUGAACUGCAUGGUUCAAAAUUGAAAGGCGGCUUCGGCUGUCACUUAUGGAUGGACCCGCGUCGCAUUAGCUAGGUGGGGAGGUAACGGCACACCAAGGCAACGAUGCGUAGCCGACCUGCGAGGGUGAUCGGCCACACUGGGACUGGGCCACGGCCCAGAAUCCGACGGGAGGCAGCAGUAGGGAUUCUUCCGCAAUGGACGAAAGUCUGACGGUACAACGCCGCGUGAGUGAUGAAGGCUUUCGGGUCGUAAAACUCUGUUGUUAGGGAAGAACAAGUGCUAGUUGAAUAAGCUGGCACCUUGACGGUACCUAACCAGAAAGCCACGGCUAACUACGUGCCAGCAGCCGCAGUAA